CCUACGGGGGGCUGCAGUGGGGAAUAUUGCACAAUGGGGGAAACCCUGAUGCAGCAACGCCGCGUGAGUGAAGAAGUAUUUCGGUAUGUAAAGCUCUAUCAGCAGGGAAGAAGAAAGACGGUACCUGACUAAGAAGCACCGGCUAACUACGUGCCAGCAGCCGCGGUAAUACGUAGGGGGCAAGCGUUAGCCGGAUUGACUGGGUGUAAAGGGAGCGUAGACGGGUGUGCAAGUCUGAAGUGAAAGCCCGGGGCUCAACCGCGGAACUGCUUUGGAGACUGGAUAGCUUGAGUACUGUAGAGGCAGGCGGAAUUCCUAGUGUAGCGGUGAAAUGUGUAGAGAUUAGGAGGAACACCAGUGGCGAAGGCGGCCUGCUGGACAGAAACUGACGUUGAGGUUCGAAAGCGUGGGGAGCAAACAGGAUUAGAUACCCUGGUAGUC
RNAcentral lists this ribosomal RNA (441 nucleotides) under uncultured bacterium. RNAcentral's name for it is "partial 16S ribosomal RNA". It matches the Rfam family "Bacterial small subunit ribosomal RNA", at positions 338 to 795 of the family's 1533-position model. The record is from RNAcentral.